RNAcentral lists this long non-coding RNA (1323 nucleotides) under Felis catus (domestic cat). RNAcentral's name for it is "lncRNA (ENSFCAG00000047100.1)". Lineage: Eukaryota; Metazoa; Chordata; Mammalia; Carnivora; Felidae. The record is from RNAcentral.
GUUUGACUAAGUCAUUUGCCUGUCAAGGGGAAUUCUCUCAAAAGGCAGGAUUUCUAAAUGGUCUCUGCUUUUUUUCUUUUUUCUUCUUUUCUGUGUUACAGUGAUUCUUGCUGCCUGAUGCCACAAUUACGACUUUAUUUUCUAGGUGUGAUGGAGCCCCCAUUCCCCUCUGUAUCUGGAUAUUUUGUGGCCAUUCUUUGCUUCCAGAUAGUAGUACUCGCUUCAGCUCCGUGCCACAGCCCUACAACACUGCACUUAGAAGAGAGAGGCGAACAUCUAACAUCUCCCCUCGGGAAUCCCGAAUUCUCACUGAAAAAUCAUAAUAAACAUAUCACUUAUACUUAAGAGCAAACCACAGUUGUUUAUGCGACAAUAUGAAUUAUAAGUUUAGGAGGACCUCAGAUAAAGGAGUUGUUGUGAGCUGGGACCAUCCACAAAUUUUCCUGAGCACAUCAGGCCUUAAGUCUAAUAAUUCAGGUUCCUUAUGGUGAGAAGGAUCAAAAUUCUUGGCAGAGUCAGGAAUGAAGGUGGUGGAGUUGAAAGGAGCAAAAAUUAAGAGGCUGGGAGGAGUAGGUCAUAGUUAUUUACAGCUUCAGAACAAAUCAUGCCCAUGCCUAGUGAUUUAAAAUGACAACCAUUCUGCCAUAUCUCACAACUUUGUGGGUCAGGAAUUCUUGUUCCCCGUGACAAAGACUGAGGUCGCUUGUAUUCAGCUGGUGGGAUGGCCCAAUGGGCCCAAGGCAGCUUCACUCACUUGUCUGGUGCUUUGGUGGAAUAAGCUGGAAGGCUGGAGUCAGCUGGGACUGUCAGCUAGAUUGUCAAUACGUGGCCUUUCUACCAUGGUGGUGUCAAGGCGGUCAGGCUUCAGAUACGGCAGUUCAGGGCUUCCAGAAAGAAUGUUACCAAAAAAAGAAAAAGGAAAAAAAAAAAAAAGAAAAAGGACAAGAGCUGAGAUGGAAGUUGCUCAUUCCUUAAAAUAGACCCAGAAGAGGUUGCAGCUUGUCUUCUGCCAUGUUCUACUGGGCAAAGCCAUCACAGAACACACAGCUUCAAGAGGAGACGUUCCUUCUCUUUUCAGAAAGAGCAUCAAAAAAACCUGUGGCCAUAUUUAAUCCACCCCAAAUGGACACUGAGAAAAGCAACUGGAAUAUUCGAUAAGUGAAGACCGAUUAUUGUUCAGCAUAGCAGUCCACACGCCGCCUCUGGACAGUGGUCUCUUCGUUAAGUAUGGACAGAGCGUCUGCUACGUUCUGGCACUAUCAUCCCUGGAGACGAUAAUGAGAAUUUUUAAAAGGGAAUAAAACAGAGACUCUGCAUGGCUCA